CCCAGACUCCUACGGGAGGCAGCAGUGGGGGAUAUUGCACAAUGGGGGGAACCCUGAUGCAGCGACGCCGCGUGGGUGAAGGAGCGUUUCGGCGCGUAAAGCCCUCUCGGCAGGGAAGAAGGAGGACGGUACCUGACUAAGAAGCCCCGGCUAACUACGUGCCAGCAGCCGCGGUAAUACGUAGGGGGCAAGCGUUAUCCGGAUUUACUGGGUGUAAAGGGGGCGCAGACGGCAGCGCAAGCCAGGAGUGAAAGCCCGGGGCCCAACCCCGGGACUGCUCUUGGAACUGCGCGGCUGGAGUGCAGGAGGGGCAGGCGGAAUUCCUGGUGUAGCGGUGAAAUGCGUAGAUAUCAGGAGGAACACCGGUGGCGAAGGCGGCCUGCUGGACUGCGACUGACGUUGAGGCCCGAAAGCGUGGGGAGCAAACAGGAUUAGAUACCCCCGUA
This 446-nucleotide ribosomal RNA is filed under the name uncultured bacterium. Its description in RNAcentral is "partial 16S ribosomal RNA". It matches the Rfam family "Bacterial small subunit ribosomal RNA", at positions 330 to 792 of the family's 1533-position model. The record is from RNAcentral.